RNAcentral lists this ribosomal RNA (1350 nucleotides) under metagenome. RNAcentral's name for it is "bacterial LSU rRNA". It matches the Rfam family "Bacterial large subunit ribosomal RNA", at positions 1564 to 2925 of the family's 2925-position model. The record is from RNAcentral.
UGAGUACGAGCUGCUACGGCAGCGAAGUGGGUGACGUCAAGCUUCCAAGAAAAGCCCUACACCCGUUAAGGCAUGAUGGCCUGUACCCGAAACCGACACAGGUGGGGUGGUAGAGAAUACCGAGGGGCGCGAGGUAACUCUCUCUAAGGAACUCGGCAAAAUGGCCCCGUAACUUCGGGAGAAGGGGUGCCACCGCAAGGUGGUCGCAGUGAAGAGGCCCAGGCGACUGUUUACCAAAAACACAGGUCUCCGCUAAGUCGCAAGACGAUGUAUGGGGGCUGACGCCUGCCCAGUGCCGGAAGGUUAAGGAAGCUGGUCAGCGCAAGCGAAGCUGGCGACUGAAGCCCUGGUGAACGGCGGCCGUAACUAUAACGGUCCUAAGGUAGCGAAAUUCCUUGUCGGGUAAGUUCCGACCCGCACGAAAGGCGUAACGAUCUGGGCGCUGUCUCGGAGAGAGGCUCGGCGAAAUAGAAUUGUCUGUGAAGAUGCGGACUACGUGCACCCGGACAGAAAGACCCUAUGAAGCUUUACUGUAGCUUGGUAUUGUGCCCGGGCUCUGAAUGCGCAGGAUAGGUGGGAGGCUUUGAUCCAUUGCUUGUGGGUGAUGGUGAGCCAACGGUGAGAUACCACUCUUUCAGAGCUAGGGUUCUAACGGUCACCCGUUAUCCGGGGACCGGACAGUAUCAGGUGGGCAGUUUGACUGGGGCGGUCGCCUCCUAAAAGGUAACGGAGGCGCGCAAAGGUUCCCUCAGGCUGGUUGGAAAUCAGCCGAUGAGUGUAAAGGCAGAAGGGAGCUUGACUGUGAGACCUACAAGUCGAACAGGGACGAAAGUCGGCCUUAGUGAUCCGACGGUUCUGAGUGGAAGGGCCGUCGCUCAACGGAUAAAAGUUACUCUAAGGAUAACAGGCUGAUCUCCCCCAAGAGUUCACAUCGACGGGGAGGUUUGGCACCUCGAUGUCGGCUCAUCGCAACCUGGGGCUGAAGUCGGUCCCAAGGGUUGGGCUGUUCGCCCAUUAAAGCGAUACGCGAGCUGGGUUCAGGACGUCGUGAGACAGUUCGGUCCAUAUCCGGUGCAUGCGCAGGAAUAUUGAGAGGAUUUCUCCCUAGUACGAGAGGACCGGGAGGAACGCACCUCUGGUGUACCAGUUAUCGUGCCAACGGUAAACGCUGGGUAGCCAUGUGCGGAGUGGAUAACCGCUGAAAGCAUCUAAGUGGGAAGCCCACCUCAAGAUGAGUAUUCCCAUGGCGUUAGCCAGUAAGGUCACGGGCAGAACACCCGUUGAUAGGCUCUACGUGGAAGCCGGGUAACCGGUGAAGCGGAGGAGUACUAAUAGACCGAGGGCUUGACC